CCUAAUGGUGGUGUGCACGGGCAGUCUUCGGACUGGCCGGUUUUCCUUUUGCCCGGUAGCGCUAACCCGUGUACACCGCCGCCUUU
RNAcentral lists this non-coding RNA (86 nucleotides) under Candidatus Kentrum sp. TC. Lineage: Bacteria; Pseudomonadati; Pseudomonadota; Gammaproteobacteria. The record is from RNAcentral.